RNAcentral lists this transfer RNA (80 nucleotides) under Lachnospiraceae bacterium. RNAcentral's name for it is "tRNA-Leu". It matches the Rfam family "tRNA". From Rfam's summary of the family: Transfer RNA (tRNA) molecules are approximately 80 nucleotides in length. RNAcentral also lists the same sequence under 1 other name. The record is from RNAcentral. Lineage: Bacteria; Bacillati; Bacillota; Clostridia; Lachnospirales; Lachnospiraceae.
GCACCUGUGGUGGAAUUGGCAGACACGCCGGAUUUAGGUUCCGGUCCGCAAGGGUGCAGGUUCAAGUCCUGUCAGGUGCA